This 558-nucleotide ribosomal RNA is filed under the name Schwanniomyces polymorphus var. polymorphus. RNAcentral's name for it is "eukaryotic LSU rRNA". It matches the Rfam family "Eukaryotic large subunit ribosomal RNA", at positions 84 to 658 of the family's 3401-position model. Lineage: Eukaryota; Fungi; Ascomycota; Pichiomycetes; Serinales; Debaryomycetaceae. The record is from RNAcentral.
UAACGGCGAGUGAAGCGGCAAAAGCUCAAAUUUGAAAUCUGGCACCUUCGGUGUCCGAGUUGUAAUUUGAAGAAGGUAACUUUGGAGUUGGCUCUUGUCUAUGUUCCUUGGAACAGGACGUCACAGAGGGUGAGAAUCCCGUGCGAUGAGAUGCCCAAUUCUAUGUAAAGUGCUUUCGAAGAGUCGAGUUGUUUGGGAAUGCAGCUCUAAGUGGGUGGUAAAUUCCAUCUAAAGCUAAAUAUUGGCGAGAGACCGAUAGCGAACAAGUACAGUGAUGGAAAGAUGAAAAGAACUUUGAAAAGAGAGUGAAAAAGUACGUGAAAUUGUUGAAAGGGAAGGGCUUGAGAUCAGACUUGGUAUUUUGCAAGCCUUACCUUCGUGGUGGGGUCCCCUGCAGUUUACUGGGCCAGCAUCGGUUUGGAUGGUAGGAUAAUGACUUGGGAAUGUGACUUUGCUUCGGUAAAGUGUUAUAGCCCUUGUUGAUACUGCCUGUCUAGACCGAGGACUGCGUCUUUGACUAGGAUGCUGGCAUAAUGAUCUUAAGUCGCCCGUCUUGAA